Molecule: long non-coding RNA, 13833 nt
Filed under: Homo sapiens (human)
Lineage: Eukaryota; Metazoa; Chordata; Mammalia; Primates; Hominidae
Description: non-protein coding lnc-GPD2-2:5
Source: RNAcentral
AUACCCACAAGCACCUGGUCAGAAUUGAGCAGCCCGACAGGAACCUUCCUGCCCUGACCCCCAGCAAACAGCGGUAAGAGGGAUUUGCCACGACCUUCCAGGAAAUCAGGUGCUAAUGAUAGAGAUCAAAGUGGAAGGAAAGGAGUGAAUUCUCCCUCCAGGUGCCAUAGAUGACAUCUUUUUAGAUGGAUCUUUUGUUUCGCCUUUAAGAUAUUACCUCAUUUGAUCUUUGUAUACACCUCAUUAGAUACUGACAGCUAUUCAACAAAUAAAGAAAAAGAGGCAUAGAAAAUUUGGAUAACUUACUAAAGUCAUUGAGACAACAGACAGCCAAGGCAUUGGCACAGUCUUUGGACAUGAAAAUCAUGGAGAAGGAAGAGGCUGAUUGUUAUCCAUGAUUAGGCAGUGCAGAUAUAGCUCAAUAUUCCAAAUGGGAUGUUUUGGCCUUGGAGUUAAGUUCCAAGAGCAUUAUAAAAUAAUCACCUGUAUAGGAAGUCCUGACUUAACUCUAUUAACAACUUCGCUGGGAGAAGGGUCCACACAAAAAUUCUGAGAUGGAGAUGAUGGCUAAAGUUAGAGUUCACAUUGGAUGACUUUGAACUCAGUAAACUAGGUGAAUUUGCCAGAAGAUAUGAAGCUGUGGGAACUUGGAAGCCCAGGACACUAUGAUAUUGAUUACAGGGAAAUAGUUCAAAAAUAUCACAAGAUUACAAGCAGCUGUAAGUGUCUUGACUAGCGAAAGACCUUGGAUUUGUAGAGCAUCAGUCUAUGUAUGUCUACAACAAUAUUCAUCAAUUUUAUUAAUCCAAGACUGGGUAUUAGAACAGGCAGGGAGUUAGGAGAACUUGGUAUUGACAGGGGCAAUGUCAGUCAGCAACAUGGCAGCAUGCAAAGAACUUUGGUCUGUGAGAUCAGGAAUCUAGGUUCUGGGUUCAUUCAUUACAUUGUCCUAGGCUAAUAACUUUCUUCUUUCACUCUUAUGUCUUCAUUUGUAAACUGGAGAUGCUAGACUAUGUAAUUUCAAAUAUGGUUUCAAAUGGAAAGAAAAUCUUAUUCUUGAGGCAAAGUAGAGUUGCAGAAAGAGCAACAUCUUUGUGGUCAGGCUUUACUCUCUACUUCUGCCACUUUAUCGCCUGUGACCUUGAGAAAGUUACUUCUUUGCACCUCAGUUUCCUCAUCCAUAAAAUGGUGAAAAGAGUAAGUUAUGGGGAAAUGUUAAAGAUAAAAUUUGAAUAGUAGUCAUCAAUAAUUGCAAUAAUUGUUUAUUUGAUUAUAUUGAUUUGAUUUUUUUUUUUUUUUUUUUGAGACAGAGUCUCGCUCUGUUGCCAGGCUGGAGUGCAGUGGCACAAUCUUGGCUCACUGCAACCUCCACCUCCCAGAUUCAAGCGAUUCUCCCGCCUCAGCCUCCUGAGUAGCUGGGACUACAGGUGCAUGCUACCACGCCCAGCUAACUUCUGUAUUUUUAGUAGAGACGGGUUUUCACAAUGUUGGGCAGGAUGGUCUCGAUCUCUUGACCUUGUGAUCUGCCCGCCUUGGCCUCUCAAAGUGCUGGGAAUACAGGUGUGAGCCACCAUGCCUGGCCCUGAUUUGAUCUUCCUAAAGCCAUAUACUUUAACCAUAAUUUAAUGUUUCUUGAUGACUUACAAUCAUCAAGUACAAAGGAUGAUUAAUGCUAUAACAUUGUGACAUUCUUGUGCCCAGAUUGCUUACACACUUAUUGAGCCCAAGAAUCUUCUUUGUGCAAGUUGUCAAAUUAUCAUUGUACUAUAAUCAAUAUGUCUGUAAUCUGCUAAGAUCUUGGAGAGUAGACAACUAAAUCAUAUAAUAUGUACAUUAAAUAAAAGUAGGUGCUUAUGGAGGCCACGAGUAUUAGGUGUGCAUAGCUAUUUUGACUUCUAAGAAACUUUCUUUGCUUACUUUCAGAUUCUGAAAUGUGAUCCAAUAAGUAGGACACUGAAUAAACACUCUAAAAAGAGAUAAAGUCAUAUUCAAACACAAAAACUGUCAACAUACAGUGAUUGUGUGUAAGAUUGGUGGAAGAGAGUUCACUGACUCUAACAGACCCUAAUACUGCAUUGAGUACCUCUGUAAAUUUUCAUUCUAUUUUUAUGAGUGAGGAACGGUGAGAAAAUGGUAUGACAAUGAGGAGUUGAAAAUGGAAAAGAAGAUUUUAUUUUCUACUAAUUAUAUAUUGUCUAUGAUCUCACAUUUAAAAAUAUGCAUUGGCUUAGUCAAUAAUUGACCCUGGGGUUGAUUUGUUUUUGGAACAAGUCUCAGCAAAGUCCCUUAAAAAGUAAGAUAAAUAAGCAAUGUUUAUACAGCUUUAAUUAUGUUAAUCAUUUUAGGACUGAAUUCACAAACUGUCAGGGAACAGCAAGAGAGUGAGCAGACCACUUUUCCUCCGACCUUCCCUUUUCCUAUCUGAUUGCUGUCUCCCAUAUAUUCUUUUCCUGAGGCAUCUGAAAUUGCUGAUUUAGGUGGAGUAGAAGAUUUAACAAAGCUAAUUGCUUCUGUUGUUAGACAGACAGACAUGUAUCUAUUACAUUCACUAUAUUAGAACUACGAAUUGCUUUAAAAAGUCAACAGAAAUAAACAUAAAAAGUGUCUCUAACCCUUUCUACUUUUAAUAGAGGUACUUCCAUAGUUGUAGGGAAGUUUGUACCUGCGAGUACAAAACAGAGAAUGAAUCUGAAUGAUGUGGUCUGACUGCUAAUGUUUACAAGCUGAAGAGGAGAUGCUGUGAGAUUUCCCUGUGGAUGCAGUCUUGAGAAAAGGACUAGCGAAAUUACUACAAUCCUAGCACGCUGAAUUAGUUGAACAGGCUAAUCCUCACAAAUGGAUAGGAUUUAAGAUAUGAUUGUGAGAUUGUUAUCCAAUUGCAUAAAUCUAUGUAUAAAUGCAGGUUCAGAUUUAUAGACACUGAAUAUAACAGAAAAAGACAUAGAUAUUUUCAUCUAGGAACUUUUAUGUACAUUUUAAAUCAUUGUUUAGUAUAUAUUUCUCUCAAUAGAAGUAGCAUGCUGAAAUGGAAGAAUUUGUUGCAAUAAAAUACAAAGCCAAGCUAUUAUAUUACUAGCUCAAUAGCACAAUGCCUUAGAUAUUUAAAUUUGUGCAGAGGGAGUUAGUUAUAUAUAAAACUCUUUGGCCAAACCCGCCACAUAUACAGUUGGGAGGACACCAGUUAAGUAUGGGUGAAUAGAGAAGUUUAGAAUCUUGCAUUAAAAAAAACUUCCUUACAAAAUGUGCACACGAGAAUCACUAAAAUUUCAAGGAUCCUUUUUACUUAAAUAAAAGAUGCAAAAGGUAUUGUGGUAGUAAGUGUGCAUCUGUUCACCCUUAGAACAGAAUUUCAAAUACUUAGUGUUUUGAAAAAUUCCUUUGCCAACCUACUUUAUUACCCCAUGUAAAUGAAUCAUUUGAUUUUCUGUGUAAAUUGCUUGUAAACUUGCUUUCCAUUUAAUUAUAAUUCAAGACAGUUUAGAACACACACAUACACAUACACAUAUGUACACAUACACACAUACACACACACCUGGGUUAGAGAAUCUGAGCAUUUAAGAGCUAUAAGGAAAUUUUGAGAUGUUUGGUCGAAAUCCAGCCUCAAGUUAGCAGACGUGAAACUGGGAUCACAGAAUCUGAGUCCUUGUCCCAAUUCACAGUGCACAAAAUCUGGCAAGAACUUUGACGUUCAGGUUCAUAGUCACCUUUCUAUCCUAUCACCCUCCUUUAUCAUUUCACAACUAUUGUCUGUGUUUCACCUUUUGGCUUGGUAUUAUGCCAGCAUGCAUUCCCUUCUCCUAUACCUAGAGAGGGUCAUGGCGAUUUCCCAUAUUUCCUCCAACACAGCAAACAGACUAAACACAUAUGGUCCAAAGUCCAACCUCAUGGUGUCAGUCUAGGCCUUAUUUCUUCAGAUGAUUCUCUUCUCAGAUGAAAAUCACUCACUGGUUACAAAAUCAAUGUUGUAAAAAAUGAACUAUUUUUUUCGUGACAUAUCUGUUUUGAUCACAUUCCCAACGGAUCCAUAAAAUAACACAAAAUAACAUCACAUGCACUACUUUUGAAGUCUGUACUGAGUUACUGGUCUGAAACAUUAUCAAUUGCACUGUGGUAUGCAUACAGAGCUUCCGGCAGAGUGUGUAUCCAGUGAGUCAUUUGAGAAAUGGGGUGUCUCUGCCAGGCAUUCUUUUAGUAGCCCAUGUAAGAUGUUACUGAAGAGCUGGAGAGAAGAGGGAGCCACUCUACCUCAUCAUUCACACUGAACCUAAAUGAAGAGAUCUUAGAUUAGACUCACCUCCAUCUUUCAUAUUAAUCUAGGGUAAAUAUUGAAAUAAAUCAUUCUGUUUCUUUAGUCCUAAUUUAUCUUUUCCUAGGAAAAGAAGAAGAAUCUAGCACUGUAAAAUACACCUGGGAUCUUACCUGAGAUAAAACUACAAACUAUAGUAGGCUAACAUAGUCAAGACUUUAUAUUUCCAAAACACUUUAAAAUAUAUUAUCUCAUUUAGACUAUAUUCAAAUAUUUAACCUCAUAUGUCUCUAUUUGGGAACUGUGAAAAAUAAGGCCUAAGGAGAUAUUUUUUUUUCCAGGCCACAAAUCUAACAAAUGUUCUAUUUGUUAUUUUUAUUUUUAGCUAUUAUUUUCAGUCUUAAAUUUCCUGGUACUAUACAGUGCUGACAGUUUUUAGACUGUAUGAAGAAUAUGGCAUCCCCAAUUAGGGACUAUUAUGGCUCAACAGAAAGGGUAUAUAUACCUUGGAAAGGGCCAAAAGCUCAUAUGAAUGCUUUGUCACUAGCAUGCAUCUAUCUUGUGCCAAGAGAUCUUUUUCUAGUUAUCCUCUAGGGUAUUAAAUGUUUAAAUGUUUUCUGCAGCCACCCUGUUCUCUAGAUCCCAUGUAUUGAAAGACUUACAGGUCCCUAGGAGAAUAUUUUGUGAAGGUCUUAAAGAAAGCUACAUUUGCCUUCCUUUUCUACUUGUGAGCCUUUUUGAUUAAAACUCCUCCCUUACUGAUGUCAUCCAGAUCAGCUCAAGGAAAACAUUUGACAGGUCCAUCUGUGUCCACAGUCACCCACAAACAUGGGAAACUGCCACCCAUCUGCCUCCCUAUGCUUUGUUUUGCUCCUGUCCUGGUUAUUUUGUUCUCUUGUAGCUACAGGGGAUAUUAAUACCCUCCUGUCUUCCAGAAAUGUGAAGAGAAUGGAUCUAUGUUAGCUUGUGCUCCUGAGAGAAAGAUGUUAUAGAAAUAGCAUAUGCUAUCACACUGUUAUUUACACGCAAUUCUACAAGUUUUCUAGUAACAUCCUCACAUUUUAAUGAACAUGUUUCUUAACUUCCUACCUGGAUUCACUAUUAAUCAUUUCAAUGUAAUUAUGGCUCAUCAAUUAUUCUGCGUUUCCCAAAUAGAUUGUUUACUCUUAAUGACAGAAAUGUUAUAAAUUUAGGGACACUUUUUGGAUUCAAUUACUUUCUUGUCUAUUGCCUGCAUUUUAUGAUGUCAUUCACUAAUGUUGCCAAGAGUUGAAUAUUUGCAUUAGUUCCUUUUUUAUUUUGAAUAACAACAUACACUUUUUGGUAAAACAACACCAGGAUGAUUUCAAAUCAGGGAAAAUGCAAAUCAGAGGCUUAAAGAUGUGAAGCAAUCCAAAUAUUUUCUUAAUCACAUUCCUGGGGCAUUGUAUGAAAUUCCAAUAGCAAUCAAUGAUCUUAUGAUUCAAACAAUCCUAUAAAUAUGAUAAGAAUUCAUAAUAGCUGUCAAAAUUCAAAACAAAACAAAUAUGUCAGUGAAUUUCAAAAAGGAUUAUUUGAGUCAAUUUUAAUCAUUGCUUUUUUAUAAAGACAUAUUAUUUGAAACCGAUAUGUACAGAUUAGAGCUCAGUGUACAAAUUUACAGCCAUGUCACAUGAAUUUAAAAUCUUUUAAGAUACACACAUCGCAAGGACAAAAAACCAAACACUGCAUGUUCUCACUCAUAGGUGGGAAUUGAACAAUGAGAACACAUGGACACAGGAAGGGGAACAUCACACUCUGGGUACUGUUGCGGGGUGGGGGGAGUGGGGAGGGAUAGCAUUAGGAGAUACACCUAAUGCUAAAUGACGAGUUAAUGGGUGCAGCACACCAGCAUGGCACAUGUAUACAUAUGUAACUAACCUGCACAUUGUGCACAUGUACCCUAAAACUUAAAGUAUAAUAAUAAUAAAAUAAAAAAAGAUACACACAUCCACCAUUGUCAUGUAGCUUUCAAAUAAUGCAAAGAACUAACUUACUAUUUACUUGCCAUUGCCUCUGAUUCAUUUUCCUCAGUAGGUAAUACCACUCCUACCGUAAGUAUAUGUAAGAAAUGCUAGAUUACGAUAGUCAAAAAUAACUUUGCUUAGUUAAAGACUUUAUCUUCAUUUUCAAAAUGUGCGGCUUUUCCUCAAAGAUUGAUUGCAUGUUGUGAUUUAUUUCCUGGUGCUCAAAAAGAUUCAAAGAACUUUAAAUCUCUAAACAUAUUUUUGAAUAUACCAUCAAUUUAAUAUCUGUGGCUAAUACAAACCUCAUUUUGUUCAAACAAAGGUUACUGUACAUAGUAUCUGAAAUGACUUGAUAUAUUUUCCAUUCUUUCAUUAAGUAACUAAUCUUCAGGUUAAAAAAUGUUCUUUUAAAUGAGAUAAACCUCAGUUAAUAUUUUAGAAGGCAAAUUGUUGUUAUGAUUAUUGAUUCUUUCCUUGUUUUAUGUGGAAACAAAUUAGAGAUGCUCAAAAUUCUCAUUUUUUAAAUUUCAGGAGAAUGUGUACAUAAUUAAAUAUAUUUCUGUGUAAAUGCAAUAGCACCCUCUGGAGGUCUGAAACACUUUGCAUAACUUCCAUAAAUCAAUGUCUUCUUUUGUUAUCUCCACAUAUUUUUGUUGGCUUAGACUUUUAAUAUUUUACAUUCUGAUAAUCAUAUUUGUCUCAUAAAGUGAUUAAAUACAUUUAAUCUAUUAUUACUUUCUAUUUAUUAUGCAUUCAUUGUGAUUUGUGUGUCAUCUCAUUUGUAAUGCUGCAAUGUAAUAACAAAAUAAACAAUUCAGCUGACCUUGGUGAUGUCUCUAUAACGUUCCUAUUUUUUAUCAUGCAAAAAUAUUUUCCAAACAAGAAAUAACAAGUUACAUUUCCGAAAUCCCUUAGUAUCUGGUUAUAUGUAGACAACAGGAAACUAAUUUUACCUCCUUUGAAGAUUCCUCAUGAAAACAGUUACUUUCAUUCUUCAUGCCCCUGAUGAACAAACACAGCUGUGGUUUUUCUGUGGUUUUGAAGCUAAUUUAUCAGAGAUGGGAGAAUUUGAAAAGGAGCAGAGGUCAGAAAACAUCGGAAAAAAUAUCUUGAGUCACUGGAACACAUUCAAGGACCAAAGUGACUUCUAUUGUGCCAUAAUAAUAUAAAUAAAUGAUCCCAUAAUCAUUUGCCUCUCUGCAACAGCUCUGCAUACAAAGGUCUUUUUGAAGUUCAGGGAGAUCCAAACAGAGCUGUUCAUCUACUAUAAAAAAAGGGGAUGAGCAUAUGACUAAUAUUGGGUAAGAGGAAAUAAUGUCAUUUGAUUCUGAAUGAAGCCAAGGCUGCCCUCUCCCUGAAGGUUGUUCAAGAGAACACAGCUAGUUUGUGAGAUAUUGGAGUGGGACUGAAUUCUUUUUUUUUUUUUUUUUUUUUUUUUUUUUUGAGAUGGAGUCUUGCUCUGUCACCCAGGCUGGAGUGCAGUGGCGUGAUCUCAGCUCACUGCAACUUCCGCCUCCCAGGUUCAAGCAAUUCUCCUGCCUCAGCCUCCCAAGUAGCUGGGAUUACAGGCACAUACCAUCAUGCCCUGCUAAUUUUUUGUGUUUUUAGUAGAGACGGGGUUUCAUCAUGUUGGCCAGGCUAGUUUUGAACUCCUGACCUCAAGUGAUCUGCCUGCCUCAGCCUCCAACAUGACAUGCAGUUGAGCUGUCCUCUGGGAAGACUGGUCUCCAUUGGCUCUAAUCAGAGGAGGCAGGGGAUCUACCAAAUACUGUUCCCCCAAAGGUAAAUGACAGUGAGGAUGUCAUACAGGGUCUUCCAAACUGUUGCAUGAAAAAGUAACAAACACACAACCAAAAGGAAUUAUAACUCUAAUCUCAAGCACUUGAACGUACUCUAACGUGUAUAUACAAAGAUAAAUAUAAAAAAUAAUGAUAAUAUUUAAACAAACUAAAAUGCACUGGAAAAUAUUAACACUAAAAUGACUAUAUAUCUAAUAGGAAAUAGGAAAAAGUCAAGAUUGGAGGUGCUAGAAUUGCUUCAGUCAUUCUUUUCCCAGUAUUCUGUUCCUUCUCUCCAUCCUUCUGCUCGCUCACCUUAAUUAUACCUAAAUCGUCAGAAGAUUCAGGUCAGAACUCUGCCAGCAAAACUGUGCAUUUUAACUAUUUUAAUCAUUAUAAAAAUGAAAGAUUUGUAUGCCACAUCAUUUGGAUUUUGACUGGCUUUCCUGAGUUCAUCCAGCUGUAGGAAUAUGGGUAAGUUUCAUAAGCUGUCUGUGCUUUGGUUUACAAAAAGUGGAGAGGAGACUUACAUGAAGAGAUGCUUGCAAAGCAUUUGGUCAUGUCUAGUGCAUAAAAAAGGCUGGUUUUCAUAUGAUUUUAAUUAUUUAACUGAUAUUAUAUAUAUCAUAUAAAUGAUAUUUAAAUAAUUAUUUAUUUAUUUAACAUUUUCCCAGCAUCUAGUGCACUAUUCAAAACUCGUUAUAAAUAUUAACCAAUUUACUCUUCCUAACAACCCUAUGAGGUAGAUAGUGUAUCCUUAGCAUCAUCAUCAUCAUGUUACCAGAUAAAUCUGAGACACAAGUUAAGAAACUUUCCCAGGGUCACACAGCUAAUAAGUACUAGAGCAACAGUUGAAUUGCAGGCCGUCUGGAUACAGAGUCUAUUCUAUGCAUUUAGCUACAAGGUGGUUCUGCCAAGGGGCUACUGCUGCUAUCACUGUUGUUCAAUAAAAUUGUCAUAUAGCAUUCUAUUUCCAAAUUUGCCAAAUAAAGCUAUAUCACAAGAUAGUGAUGAUAACUUUACCUGUGGAUGUUAAUACAAUGAUGUGAUUGAGAUGUCAGUAUAAAUGAAAUUUGUCUGAGAAAUAAUGACUUUCACAGUCAUAAAAACAUAAACCAUCUUGGAGCUUUUUAACUUGUCCUUAAUAUUUCUUUACACUCUUCCUCCUUUUGGUGGCCAUUAAUUUCUGAAUUAUUCUUCCCAUUAGCCUCCAGCUUUAAAGUAGAAACUGGGACUAAAAUGAGAAAAAUAAACAAAGUCCAUUGACCCCUCUUGUAUCCAUUGUACCCAGCAUUUUGAUUCUGCAUAAGUCCUGGCAAUACGCCAUCACAGUGCUGUGGUUUCUCCAUCAGAAUCAUUCCCAGCGAUUCUCAGAGACAAAGGCUGAAAUUGUAGAGUGGCCCAUUCUUCAAAGACCAGUAGGCUUAUUUUGACUGACAUUUGUGCUUUCUGAGUUAUGGAAGAGCAAUGGCAAGUGCUAUGAAUGUGCCUGGGAGUUUUGAUGUUGUGUUUAACCAGAUUCUCUUUGUAAAAGAUUCAUUGCUUAGCCUAGUGCUAAGACGUGAAAAGGCAUUUGUCCACAUUCUUCUUAAUCAUUGAAUCUCAAACUCAAGUAUGCAUCAGAAUUUCCCCAGAGAUUCUGAUUCAGAAGGUCUAGAUGAGGGCCUAGAGGGUUCUGAAUUUUCAGGUGAUUCUGACGCAGGUGGCCCAAGGACUGUACUUAAAGAAACCUUUUAGGACCAGCAGUCCUAGGAAGCCAGAGACGGGAUGGUCCAGAGUCUCCUGGGAGCUAUUGCAAAUCCAUAUGCCUGAAUGCCACACCAAACUCAAAGAAUCAGGAGCUCUGGAGGAAGAAGACCUGAAUAUGUGUUUCUGGAAAGAACUGCUGAAGUUUUCUGCAACACUCCCUGACCUUGCUGUGUUCUGGAAUUGUGAUUUGACGGCUGUGUUGGGUGAAACCCCAGGAAUUCAGGCCUUUUGUAUGGCCAAAUCGGUAGGGGCCUCCUUUUAGCCCUCUUACUAAAGCUCGACUCAUAUUGCUUUUUUAAAAAAUGGGACUCCAAAUAAUGCUUGUUUGUUUGUUUUUGGUAUACUGAGGAGAGAGCAUUCUGGGGAAAAAAUAGAAAAAGGAAGAAAAAUUAUUUUAAAACCACAACCGUAGAAUUAAUAUCAGAGAUUUCACUAAGGCCAUAUAGUUAAUUUUGAUCAUUUUGAACCAGCUUUGUAUCCAGUUUCAUUUCCCCUUUCUCCUACAAAAGGUGUGAUAUUGAGGGAGUGUCUUGAAUCAUGAGAAUCUCUGAAUCUAAAUGUUAACAAGUGAUAUUAAUAAACUUAAUUUUAUUGUCACCUAAAAUUCAAAAAGUCACACAUUUCAUUUUAUUAUUAUCUAAAGAUAAUGCUACAGAAAUAAUCAUAAAAAAACAAUAAAUUGACAGUUAAAUCCAUAAAUUAGUUACAACUGAUUUUUCACAAGCUUUCCACUUCCACUCAGCUAUCAGCACCAAGAAAAAGGCUGAUUUAUUCUCUGUAUGCUUCAUAAUGAGCGCAUGGACUGAAUGAACUGAGUGUUCUAUUUAUUCCUGGUUACAAACUGGCAAGGUUGCCAUUGGACCAAGAAAAAUGUUUCUAGUGUUAUUAUUAAUGUCUGUUAAGAACCCAGAGUCUGGAUUGUGCCCAUAAAAUUUAUAAUACAAAACUUAUAGUCUGUCAAACACUGAAAGUCAAAAACUAAAAACAGGAAACGAACUAAAUGUAAAAACGUAGGUGGACUAAGAAUAAGCAUUAACUACUCGCUAGAAAGAUUUUUUUUCUUAUUUAAAAAAAUAUUUUUGUUCUAAUAGGGCCAUCUUAAGGUUCAAAAUCAACUAAUUAAAAUGAUUUGUACAGAAAAUGCUUAUACUCACAAUUUCUGAUUUUGCUGCACGUGGAAGCGGGUGAUAACCAAUGAAGUGACUAAAUAAGUUUAAAAGUUAUUUAGAUCACAACUUUGACCCAUUCUGCUCAUCAGAUUUGUCUUUAACAGAGCCUCCAGGCGGCAAACAUGACCUAUAUACACUUUAUUCUUUUCUCUCUUGCUAAGCAGUCGAAAAAAUCCCAGGGAGAUAGCUCAAAGUUAAACUCAAGAUGGAGAAGAAAUAUUGUAAUAUGUAUUGUGGCUGAGGAAAAAAAAGUUUAAAAAACAUUUUCAAUAUUAUCUUUGCACAAUCAUCUAUUUAACAAACAUUGAGUACCUUCCACUCCUAGGCACUGGGGAUGUAAAAAUGAGGCCAUUGUUUGUCAUCUAGGAGAGAGGUUUCAGUCCCAUAGUAGUGGCCCAUUACUGAGCUGUGAAAUCAAUACAAUAGGUUGUGACCACCAUUUUUUUUUUCAAAAACAGAUCAGAGUAGAAAAUAUUAAAGCAUGCCACUCAUAAUAAGGGAAUAUAUUAUUUCUCGGAGCUGUGUUUCAGUCUGUAUCUGUGUAAAUGUGAGCACGUGUGUGUGUGUUCCAGAUCACAAUGUAAAAAUGCAUUUUAAUGAUAGCUGCAUUAAAAAAGUUUGAAAGCGUCUGUUAAAGAGUCUACCAGACAUGAGAAUCGCUUGAACCAGGGAGCCGGAGGUUGCAGUAAGCAGAAAUCACGCCACUGCACUCCAGCCUGGGGGACAGAGCAAGACUCCAUUCCCCUCACCCCAAAAAAAUAGUCUGCCAGAGAAGUAGACAAUUAAAUAUAGAAUUAAAACAAAAUGUGACAGGUGUUUUUUUUAGAGAUGUGGAAAAGUAACCCUAAAAUCUAAAGAGAAAGAGUGGCUACCUCUGCCAGGAGUGGAAAUGACCACCGAGGGACAGUCUUGAUAUUCAAACUAGGACCAAAAUGAUGAAAUUUGAGAUAGAGAGGGAGACUUGACAGGACAUUCCAGGCAGAAGGAACCAAUUGUGUGGGGAGUUCUGAAAGGGAGCACUGUGUUUACACAGGGGUGAGAAUGUGGGGGUGGGGAGGAUAAGAUUUAUGGGGGCAAUGCGAGGGGAAUGGCAUGUGAUAAAGACAGAGAAGUGCAUAUGCAACAAGCUUGUCACUGAGGAGAAGAAUGACAAUGAUGGGCAUAGUUUGCUUUGCUUUGUUUUCUUAUUUUUGAGAAAGUAACAUUGUCACCAAGACUGCCUGGAAGAGAAAGAGAGACAAGUGAGAAGAUUCUUGCCAUCAUUCAGGCUAAUGUUGAUGAUAAUUGAGCAUAGUAAAGGUGGAGAGGAGGAGAUGCCACAUUUGGAAAGCAAUUCUAACAGAAUCCACAUGAUUUCAAGUCUAAUUAUGCAUAUAUUCUGAGUUAUCAAUGAUUCAAGUGGUCCUAUUAUUGCAAGACUACAAAGACAACAGCAUCAGAAGGUAAGAGAGACGUCUAUUUUUCCCCUUUGAUAAUAUCAUUUUAUUUUCAAUAAUGAGCAAUUGCAUACCUUUUUUAAACCUUCAUUUUUAAUCUGCUAAAUGGAGAUGCAUGUAAUACAAUUUAAAAGCCUUCAAUAAAAGUUUCUUUUUAACUUUGUACUCUUUUGAACAGACUAUGUUUUAUCAUUACAUAAUUCUGCAUUAUAAAACCACAUGGUUGCUGGUGCCAUCCACCAGCAACUGUAAUUCAAAUGUUUCACUUCUUAAACCAAAGGCAUUAAUAUGAUUAGCCCAAAGAUAUCAGAGAAAUAACAUACUAAUCAUUUUUAUUUAAAGAUGAAUUUAAUGAAAUACAUUGAAUUAAGGUUUUAUAUAGCACAAACUAGGUAAGGGAGAAAAUAAGCCAUGUUGGUCAUAUCAUCAAAAUAAUAGGAAAGUUCUGUUUCUCUUCUAACCUUGUUCAUACCCAGACACAUAAGCCUGUAAACAUUAUCUCCUUAUCCUGCCAUAAUAAGAAGGCAUCCUUAUGACACAUUUCAAACUUUCUAUCUGGGCAUCACAGAAUCAUUUGCUCCCCAAAGAAAGGCAUCCACUUCACAGGAAAAUGCAAAUAAAAGCAAGUCAACUCAAGCUUUGGGGAUUCCCUAGAGUGCAAGGCUUGUGGCCCAAACACCUGUUUAGUUGCCUUGACAAAAACCACAUGAUUAUCUCAAUCGAUGCAGGAAAGGCCUCCAAUAAAGUUCAACACCCCUUUGUGCUAAAAACUCUCAAUAAACUAGGUACUGAUGGAACGAAUCUAAAAAUAAUAAGAGCUAUUUAUGACAAACCCACAGCCAAUAUCAUACUGAAUGGGCAAAAGCUGCAAGCAUUCCAUCUGAAAACUGGCACAAGACAAGGAUGCCCUCUCUCACCACUCCUAUUCAACAUAGUAUUGGAAGUUCUGGCCACGGAAAUCAGGCAAGAGAAAGAAAUAAAGUGUAUUCAAAUAGGAAGUCAAAUUGUCUCUGUUUGCAGAUGACAUGAUUAUAUAUUUAGAAAACCCCAUCUUCUCAGCUCAAAAUCUCCUUAAGCUGAUAAGCAACUUCAGCAAAGUCUCAGGAUACAAAAUCAAUGUGCAAAAAUCACAAGCAUUCCUAUACACCAAUAAUAGAGAAACAGACAGCCAAAUCAUGAGUAAACUCCCAUUCACAAGUGCCACAAAGAGAAUAAAAUACCUAGGAAUCCAACUUACAAGGGAUGUGAAGGACCUCUUCAAGGAGAACUACAAACCACUGCUCAAGGAAAUAAGAGAGGACACAAACAAAUGGGAAAACAUUCCAUGCUCAUGGAUAGGAAAAAUCAAUAUUGUGAAAAUGGCCAUACUGCCCAAAGUAAUUUAUAGAUUCAGUGCUGUCUCCAUCAAGCUACCAUGGACGUUUCUUAGAAUUAGAAAAAAAACACCUUCCAUAUGAAAGUAUAAAUAAC